Molecule: ribosomal RNA, 440 nt
Filed under: uncultured bacterium
Lineage: Bacteria
Description: partial 16S ribosomal RNA
Rfam family: Bacterial small subunit ribosomal RNA
Source: RNAcentral
CCUACGGGAAGCAGCAGUAGGGAAUAUUGCUCAAUGGGGGAAACCCUGAAGCAGCAACGUCGCGUGGAGGAUGACGGUUUUCGGGUUGUUAACUUCUUUUGUUAGAGAAGUUAAUGACGGCAUGUAUGGAAUAAGCACCGUCUAACUCCGUGACAGCAGCCGCGGUUCUACGGAGGGUGCAAGCGUUACUCGGAAUCACUGGGCGUAAAGAGGGCGUAGGCGGGAUAGCAAGUCAGAUGUGAAAUGCUAUGGCUUAACCAUAGAACUGCAUUGGAAACUGUUAUUCUAGAGUAUGGGGGAGGUAGGUGGAAUUCGUGGUGUAGGGGUAAAAUGCGUAGAGAUCAAGAAGAAUACUCAUUGCGAAGGCGACCUACUAGAACGUUACUGACGCUGAUGCGCGAAAGCGUGGGGAGCAAACAGGAUUAGAUACCCGAGUAGUC